GUCAGCAGCCAUAUCACCCUGCAACUCACAACUCACAACUGGCAACCCACUGAAGCUAAGCAGGUGUGAGCCUGGUCAGUACCUGGAUGGGAGACCUCCUGGGAAAAACUAAGGUUGCUGCUGGAA
Lepisosteus oculatus (spotted gar) is the source of this 126-nucleotide ribosomal RNA. The record is from Ensembl. Lineage: Eukaryota; Metazoa; Chordata; Actinopteri; Semionotiformes; Lepisosteidae.